Molecule: non-coding RNA, 5254 nt
Organism: Dermacentor andersoni
Lineage: Eukaryota; Metazoa; Arthropoda; Arachnida; Ixodida; Ixodidae
Source: RefSeq, a predicted model, not a curated record
CGGAACAACACAGCACUGGAGAAAGUAGAUCCAUCCAGCGAGCAAAGGCCAGCCGAGGGAGAUCGUGUGGCAGCCAUCUCGCGUCGCCACGAAAACACGACAGUCGUUCGUCAUGCCUUGGAUAUAACAACAAAUCCUCCACGGGGGAAUCUGCGACCACUGAAGUUACGUGCAGCACCAGUGCUAGUUAGAAACUUUGCCGCAGGCAUUCAGCUGCAUGCUGGAAGAGGUCAGUUGGGCGCGUUAUCUUGAACUUACUGAAAACGCAUGAGGAAUCCAUGUUUUAUGAUGAAAAAAGUAUAAACCCCAUAUAAGCGAUCUUGCGCGCGGCAGCUACAAGCGACGCGACGGAGAUGGCUGUCGCGUUCGCUCGUCGCCUACAAGUCGUACUCCGUGCGAGCGACGAUUUUGAGCGACGCCUCCCCGGUGUUGCCGGCAUGAGGGCUGCAGUCACGCGUGACGCGUGCUUUAGUAAUUUACGUUGAUGUAUUUUACUAUAAAAAGUACCAUAAAAUAUUUCCGGAGGUCUUGCAGUACGUUCUUAUCCUUGCACGUAUAAAAAUUGAAUCAUUUGCUCGUUCCGCGCGACAAUCGGUAGUAUUUGAGCGAUGUAUGUACAUCCAGUUCCGGCUUCGCGCUAUUGGCUAGCCGCUCAUAGCACUUCUGGGCGACGAGCGACGAUUUCUAGAUUUCCAGAACCGAGCCAUCUGUUCAAGCGACGGCCCGUUUUGUCGCUCGUCGCCGUCGCGCACUAAAUCGCUCUCACAGUGUUUAUCCCUAAGACUGAACUGUUUUUGCUCAUGUUGAAAUGGUGUGAUUAUAGGUCUGGUUUUGUCUCCUGUUGCGGUUUUCGUGCACGGUGCGAAACUGAAAGGAUGCUUAUGUCUACGAACUCGGUGAAUUGUCGAGCAGCUAGUUACGCAUCGGCAUCGAAUAUAACGGCUGCUGUGUGGAAUUACAAUUGCAGGGGCGCUUUGCAUACGCUUAUUGUUUUGGACAUGCCUGUGCAUUUGCUAAUAUGAGUUGGCGUGUCAGAGUUAUGUCAUAUGAACAGCCAAAUCAGCCUUCCUCUGGGUGUUACAAGCGUAAUGUGUGCAUUUUGCUAUAGCAUGGCAGAUUAUGAUGUGUUUAUCGCUUGAAUAUUUUUAGUAGAGAAAUAAAAUAUCAAAAUAAAAUGUUGCUUUAAUUCCGUGUUACCAUUCUGUCGUACACAGAAGAAUAGGAUGGUGUAAUAAACUAAUAACUGCGGUUUAACUGCAACUUUUACAUGCCUACAAGAAUCUAAAAUGCUAGAUUUCAAACUGCAGCAGUAGUCGGGUCUGUCAAAAAUGAACUCCACUGCGCACCUCAUGCAUGAAAAUAAGUUCAUGCCUUUUAGUAAGCUUAGAUGCAGGCCGCAGUGAACUUGUUAGUAUUGAAAUGUGGGUAAGCUUGCCAUAACAAGCCUUGUUGCCCUUUUUUAUAGGCACAUCCAUAUAUCCAUUGAGCUGAAGGACAAUAUUUUCAUCCCUACUGAGCAUCAUGUUUGCAGCUAUAAUCCUCAAAUUAUGGCUUCAGCAGUGGCACAACCAGGCAUGGUGUGGGGGGGUGGGGGGGCACACUGGGCACGUGCUUAGGAUGUGUCACAAGUGGUGUUUGCGAUACACCAGACUCAUGACAGACCUAUGACGUCUGAAAAUGACCAAUAUUCUAUUCAUUAGCAGGAGUAUUCUAAUAUUCAUGAAAAACAAGGAUGAACUGUGGUUUGUUUUUUUGCUUAAAUCUAAAAAUUGAAGUUAGUUUAGCAGUUGACUGUUGCAGUCAUUUGGAUGUUUUGCAUGCAUUUCACUAGGAAGACUAAGAGCUAAGACUUUUUUAUUGCCAUUGCCUUGACUGUCUUGAUGUUGUUUUGCACCAUGUCCUUGUGUUGACUUUUGCAUACGAUAUUUUUCAGGCACCCGCUUUAUAUAACGCAAGAAGGCAGCUGCAAGGACACGAGAAUGUGAAAGAGCCAGUGCAGCGCGACUUCACGUAGUGUAGAGGAGCCAAUGCCAAAAAAUCAAAAUACAUUGGCAUGUUAUUUGGACAAGAAAACUAGUAUGUGGGUAUAUUGGGUGUACCAUUUGACCAAAUGUCAACAAAAUCAAGAUACAGUAUGUUACACGAAGAUGAAAAUUCUCACGUGCUCCAGGCAGUCAUCUUAACAUGGUAUAUUUAUGUAAUGUCUCUGAUUGGAAAGUCAAAUCAAGUAUGCUCACUGGAGACAAACACAUAGCAGCAAGUGUCAUUGAAAAGUUAAAAAUGUGUUUUAAGAAAGCUGAUUAGUUCUGAGAAGUGACUGCUUUUUGUCUUGCCUCUCAACACAUAUAUCCAUGUGAUAAAAAAAUAGUGGUACAAUGAAAUUGCAUAUUUGCUUAGCGACAUGAUACAUACUUGCAAUGAGCACGGUGCCUGUGUUUACUAUAGAAAGCAACAGCCCAUGCUUGGUUAGGUUAGGCCCACUACAACAUGCAGGCAUGGGUGAUUGGCGCUUUUUUAUUUCUGUAUCGUGAGGUUUAUUGACGUGCGUAUAGGUGCAGUGGCACGCAGUAUGGCUAGUACAAAAAGGGGGGGGGGGGGGCAGAUAUAUGUAGCUCACUGUACACGAUACAGGGCAAAGGAAAUCCGUGUUCAGCAACUAUGUUAAAUGCCAUGUACGUAAAUUUUACAACGCUACUCGUUCGAAGCGCGCACAGGUGCAUAUUGAAGAAAAGUUUCCAGGGUAGAUAAUUUAGUUCGUAAUUUACACUAAUUUUGCUCUAACCACGAGACAUAAUAAUUUGAAUAUACUGCACGGAAAAACCUAGAGCGAAUUAAAUUGUGUGUCAGCUUCGUGUGUAUACAUAUAGUCUUCCCUAUGCAUUAGGUUUUUUGCGUAAUGCAUUAACAGUUGACAGCCUAUCUUAUGAUGUGUACUCUGUUUACAUUACAGUUGUUUAUUAGUUUACUCGUUUGUUUUGCGACUGAUGAAAUGCCGGCAUAUAUAUAUUUUCAACAUUUGACAUAACCCUGUAUGUUCUGCAGGGACAACCCAGGACGUGCAUUUCUCAGCACCCAGUCAACUGCCAAAAGUGACUCAAACACAGGCCACCAGAGACAAUGCCUACGAAAUUAUUGGCCCUGAUCAUGAGAGCCCUCAAGGGGCAAACAACAUCUCUGUUGCAGAAGUGAGCCCGGUACCACUUGGAAGUUACCAUGACAGAUGACACGGCAGCAAUAGAUACAGAGACUGCCACGUCUACUGCAGCUGCAACAGUGUACGAGGCAAGCAGCAGCGCGUCAGCAGCAGUGUCAGAAGGAACCACACCAGGCCUGGUAGAGCAACAUGUGUGCUAUCACUGACUUUUUUUGUAGUGGAUACAACUCAUUUGCUCAACAUACAAAAGCUUUUCACCACGACUGUGAGCCAGUGUUAUUGUGCAGCAAGUGCAAGACUAAGUUAAGUGUUAUAGCACAGUACAAGCAUCACUUUAACAUAUGAAAACAUAUUACAGUUGUUGCCUCCCCAGCCAGCCCACAUAGCCACAACAAUGUUGAACACAUGGUGGGACACACAUCUUCUCCAUUAGAAGAUAGUAGAGACUGUCAGUGUUGUUGUUAGAUUAACUGGUCUUUGUAGGCAACCAGGACAACACAGGUGUCAUAAGAUUGUUGUUGAUGUUGUUGAAGAGGUAAAAAAGAAGUUUGAUGCAGCUGAAGUGCCAACUGAUAUUGAGCAAAUCAAAAGCAACCACCUGAGAAAGCAACACUAUCAAAAUUUGGGUAUCUAUGUGCCGCCAACUCUGGUAAGAAUGGCAUAGGACAGAAGUGUGAUGAAAAUCACACAGACACUGCUGUUGCAUCACUGGCCACAGUGAGCAGCGACUUGUAGGGCAAGAGAGUCAACUGAAACUAACAUUAUGAUAUAGUGUCAUGCUCCCAUGUGACCACUUUUCAAGUUAUUUUGCAAGAUACAGCUCAACCUCCAGAAACGAGACUGCAAGUUGUCUGUAAAAAAGCUUUCACAAAAAAUUAUUCAUAACACCAUUAACAUAGCAGUAUCUUUUUUUUUGUGUCGGUUGGAGGUUCCCGGCUGUCCAUUAAUGCAAAAAUUGAGGAAAAAAAGAACAUGUGUCGUACUUACACCUUUUUAACAAGUACGAGGGGGACAGAACUUUUCUAGUCAUGCAUCUUCAUCAUACCAUCAAGUUUUUAAAUGCCUUUUAUAAUUAUUAUUACCAGUUAUAUCUGAGUGCAUUGUAUGCAUGUAGCAGGUGUAAAAUCAGGUCAGUUGGAUCAGAUGCCUUAUCUGUAAGCGAGCCCUAUAUUCAAGAAAUUUGAAAUAAAAUAGUUACGUUAGAGACGCAGUCUUUCAGCACUUUAUUGCCUGUGGUUUAAGCAUUGCUCAAUACUUUUGUGGGUGGCAAUUUCAACCGGCACAGCACUGCGCUUUGCCACAGUCACAUUUGUCUUCAAAGCGGUGUUUACCAUUUGUGUUGAUCUGUUUGUGUAUGCAUAGAGCAAGUUGUUAAUUUAUAUUUUUCUGCGUUCUUGUGCUUGCACUAAGCUUGUAUAAGGCAGUUACAAAAUGUGCGGCACUAUAACGAACUGUUCUGUUGAGCUUACACUUGCAAAUAAUCGUGUUCAGAUGGCCGCACUUCUAUGCGGGUGCACCGCUAGCUUUGUGUAUGUUCUCAUGUUUGUAUAAAGCUUAUAUAAGCUAGUUAGAAAAUGUAUGUCACUAAGCAUUGUGAUAUUCUUUAAAGAACUGCUUGGUUGGUUUUACACUUGUGAAUUAGUAUUGAGGCGGUGGUAUUCCCAUGUAUGCCCACUGCUAGCUUUCUGUGUCCUCACGUGUUUGUAUUAAGUUUCUACAAGGGAGUUACAGCAUGUACGUCACUAAGCGCUGUGAUAUUUUUUAAAGAACUGGUUUGUUGGUUUUACACCUGUGAGUAAUAGUACUCGUGUGGCACUAGUCAUGUGUAGGUACACAGGGACCAUUUCUAUACAUUAUGCUCAUGUAAAGCAGUUACAAAGUGUAUGUCACUAAUUACUGUGAUAUUUGUUGAAUUGCUGUGAUGGUUUUACACAUGUGAAUAAUAGUGGUCAGGACACAGUACUUGCGGUGUAUAGUUGAAUUUAUACACUGCCAAGACAUGGGCUGUAUACGUACCAAAAGAAAUGUAUGUCAUUAUAUUGUUGUGAUUAUUACUGUUUGGAUUUUAUUAAACUGUAAUAAAAUUGUUUCUUGUAUCUA